RNAcentral lists this ribosomal RNA (253 nucleotides) under uncultured prokaryote. Its description in RNAcentral is "partial 16S ribosomal RNA". It matches the Rfam family "Bacterial small subunit ribosomal RNA", at positions 525 to 777 of the family's 1533-position model. The record is from RNAcentral.
ACGGGGGGGGCAAGCGUUGUUCGGAAUUACUGGGCGUAAAGGGCGCGUAGGCGGCUUUUCAAGUCGGGCGUGAAAUCUCCGGGCUUAACCCGGAAGGGUCGUUCGAUACUGUUGAGCUAGAGUGUGGAAGAGGCAACUAGAAUUCCGUGUGUAGCGGUGAAAUGCGUAGAUAUACGGAGGAAUACCUGAGGCGAAGGCGGGUUGCUGGGCCAACGCUGACGCUGAGGCGCGAAAGCCAGGGGAGCAAACGGGA